Long non-coding RNA from Callorhinchus milii (elephant shark), 1390 nucleotides. RefSeq lists it as uncharacterized. NCBI's taxonomy places the organism in Eukaryota, Metazoa, Chordata, Chondrichthyes, Chimaeriformes, Callorhinchidae. The transcript is spliced from 2 exons. The record is from RefSeq and is a predicted model, not a curated record.
AAACUAAAUCCAGGUGAUUUGAAAGCUGAGAACCGUAUGUACUAUGGUGACCACAGAGCAAAAUGGAAACAGUGGGAGGCUGAUAUAUUUGUGGUUUUGUUGACUGAUCGUUUUCUAUGUUAUUUUCUGUAGGUGAGAAGCCAUUUAAGUGUGAAUUUGAAGGCUGUGACAGACGCUUCGCCAACAGUAGCGACAGGAAGAAGCACAUGCAUGUCCAUACUUCAGACAAGCCCUAUCUAUGCAAAAUGUGCGACAAGUCCUACACACACCCAAGCUCUCUACGGAAACACAUGAAAGUCCACGAGUCCUCCCAAGCCUCGGAUUCCUCGCCAGCUGCCAGUUCUGGUUACGAAUCAUCUACUCCCCCGGUCCUGGUUUCUCCAUCCACCGAACCCCAAAACAACAACUUAUCUCCAGCCUCCUCUGCUGUGCACAGUAACGGUGGCAUUUCCUCUAAUUUUAAUGAAUGGUACGUUUAGAUAUUGCAGGUCCAAAUGAGAAAGAGAGUGAGAGAGAGAGCUCAGCGUUUGUGCUGAAUUAAUUAAAAAGAAAAAAAUAAUUUAAACAGAACUUUCCCUAAAAUGUGUAUAAAAGGAAAACGGAGAACGCUAUAAUCAUCAUAUAAGCAAUAGUACCAGAGAUUUCGCUGAAGUGAAGAUCAAAUGUUAUUUAUGUCCUACUGAACAAACCUUUUGGGUAUUUUACAACUUUGUACAUAAGGAAUUGCUGCCUAUCAGCUGAAUGAUACCUGGGAUUCUUGAUGUAGAUUGUCCAUUAAAUGGUAGCUAUGGAUUUCUUUCUCGAGGUGACACACAUUUCCUAUUAGCGCACAAAAUGGAAACAAAAAGGACAAAAUAAUGAUUUCCUUCUCGUUGUAUUUUAAUGCUGAAAAUCUAUGUCACCUUUUCAGGGCGACCGAUUGUAAAACUUCAUGAAAUCAUAUAAAAUGGAAACUGUGCCAAAGUCAAGUUACAGUUCACAAACACAGAAACGCAGAUAAUUGCUUGUGAAUGUAUUUUUUUCCUGUUAGCUGGGGUUUAUCUCGUGAUGUUUUGUGCUUUGCAAGUUUGAAUUGUGAAAUACUAUUGGAAGAUUGUGAAAAAAGGUUGUGCCGUUAACUUUUGUAACAACGAUAUUCAUUCUGUAAAUAACCGCGUUACCAUAUUUAUCCAUUUGUAAUUAAAUUAUGGUAUUAACUUGCUACAGAUGAAACGAUAUUUAUAAAGAAUGUUUCUUAACUAUAAAUAUGUACAAUUGUGAGUUAAACAUGAAAUCAUUCAGAUUUGUUUUUUUUAUUUCUAGAUAAAGAAUGUUUUUCUCAUUUCUUGUGCGAUGUCCUGAGAUCAUUAACAGCAUACAUAUAUAUAAUAAAAUGUGUUGCAAGUGUAAA